RNAcentral lists this ribosomal RNA (418 nucleotides) under uncultured Flavobacterium sp. Its description in RNAcentral is "bacterial SSU rRNA". It matches the Rfam family "Bacterial small subunit ribosomal RNA", at positions 551 to 973 of the family's 1533-position model. The record is from RNAcentral. Lineage: Bacteria; Pseudomonadati; Bacteroidota; Flavobacteriia; Flavobacteriales; Flavobacteriaceae.
UCACUGGGUUUAAAGGGUCCGUAGGCGGUUUUGUAAGUCAGUGGUGAAAGCCCAUCGCUCAACGGUGGAACGGCCAUUGAUACUGCAAGACUUGAAUUAUUAGGAAGUAACUAGAAUAUGUAGUGUAGCGGUGAAAUGCUUAGAGAUUACAUGGAAUACCAAUUGCGAAGGCAGGUUACUACUAAUAUAUUGACGCUGAUGGACGAAAGCGUGGGUAGCGAACAGGAUUAGAUACCCUGGUAGUCCACGCCGUAAACGAUGGAUACUAGCUGUUCGGAGCAGUCUGAGUGGCUAAGCGAAAGUGAUAAGUAUCCCACCUGGGGAGUACGUUCGCAAGAAUGAAACUCAAAGGAAUUGACGGGGGCCCGCACAAGCGGUGGAGCAUGUGGUUUAAUUCGAUGCUACGCGAGGAACCUUA